UACUCCUACGGGAGGCAGCAGUCGGGAAUAUUGGGCAAUGGGCGAAAGCCUGACCCAGCCAUGCCGCGUGCGGGAAGAAGGCCUGCGGGUCGUAAACCGCUUUCAGCGGGGACGAUGCGUCUCCGGGUGAACAGCUCGGGGACGUGACGUUACCCGCAGAAGAAGCGCCGGCUAACUCCGUGCCAGCAGCCGCGGUAAUACGGAGGGCGCGAGCGUUACUCGGAGUCACUGGGCGUAAAGCGUCCGUAGGCGGUCGGGUAAGUCGGGUGUGAAAGCCCCGGGCUUAACCUGGGAAGUGCACCCGAUACUGCUCGACUCGAGUGCGGGAGAGGAUGGCGGAAUUCCCGGGGUAGCGGUGAAAUGCGUAGAUCUCGGGAGGAACACCAGUGGCGAAGGCGGCCAUCUGGCCCGUAACUGACGCUGAGGGACGAAAGCGUGGGGAGCAAACAGGAUUAGAUACCCUGGUAGUCCACGCCCUAAACGAUGCCGACUAGCUGUUGGGCCCGAUUGGGGUUCAGUGGCGAAGCUCACGCGUUAAGUCGGCCGCCUGGGGAGUACAGCCGCAAGGCUGAAACUCAAAGGAAUUGACGGA
RNAcentral lists this ribosomal RNA (592 nucleotides) under uncultured Gammaproteobacteria bacterium. RNAcentral's name for it is "bacterial SSU rRNA". It matches the Rfam family "Bacterial small subunit ribosomal RNA", at positions 334 to 917 of the family's 1533-position model. The record is from RNAcentral. Lineage: Bacteria; Pseudomonadati; Pseudomonadota; Gammaproteobacteria.